Long non-coding RNA from Solea senegalensis (Senegalese sole), 203 nucleotides. RefSeq lists it as uncharacterized. The transcript is spliced from 3 exons. The record is from RefSeq and is a predicted model, not a curated record. NCBI's taxonomy places the organism in Eukaryota, Metazoa, Chordata, Actinopteri, Pleuronectiformes, Soleidae.
GUACAAUAUUGUAAUGGAAACGCAACUAAACUGUGUAGAGGCGAGUUGAGCUGGGACCAUGUACUGCUCAGUAGAAUAACCAAUGGCAGCGCCCCCAUCUCCAUCUGUCCUGUAAUUAGUCGAAGUCUCCAGUCACAGGCCAGUUCACUUGAGUUACAUUAUGCCAAAAGGUUAUUAUGGAAUUACUAAUCAAAGCUCUCCUG